GGCACCGGUGGCUUAGUUGUUAAAGCGUCCGCCUCAAAUGCGGGAGGUAGUGGAUUCUAUCCCUGCUCGAGUCA
Non-coding RNA from Potamilus streckersoni, 74 nucleotides. The record is from the annotation of a GenBank genome assembly. Lineage: Eukaryota; Metazoa; Mollusca; Bivalvia; Unionida; Unionidae.